RNAcentral lists this ribosomal RNA (439 nucleotides) under uncultured bacterium. Its description in RNAcentral is "partial 16S ribosomal RNA". It matches the Rfam family "Bacterial small subunit ribosomal RNA", at positions 338 to 795 of the family's 1533-position model. The record is from RNAcentral.
CCUACGGGAGGCAGCAGUGGGGAAUAUUGCGCAAUGGGCGAAAGCCUGACGCAGCGACGCCGCGUGAGGGAUGACGGUCUUCGGAUUGUUAAACUCUAUCUUUGGGGAAGAAAAUGACGGUACCCAUAGAGGAAGCACCGGCUAACUACGUGCCAGAAGCCGCGGUAAUACGUAGGGAGCGAGCGUUGUCCGGAAUUACUGGGUGUAAAGGGAGUGUAGGCGGGCGAGAAAGUUGAAUGUUAAAUCUACCGGCUUAACUGGUAGCUGCGUUCAACACUUCUUGUCUUGAGUGAAGUAGAGGCAGGCGGAAUGUCUAGUGUAGCGGUGAAAUGCGUAGAGAUUAGGAGGAACACCAGUGGCGAAGGCGGCCUGCUGGGCUUUAACUGACGCUGAGGCUCGAAAGCGUGGGGAGCAAACAGGAUUAGAUACCCCAGUAGUC